UAGCUGAUGAAUUUUCACUGUUCUUAGAUGGUUUCCAGCAGAUCGUGUUGGCACACUUCAUUGGCUCAUGAUAAAGUGUGCAAAAGCCGUACGCAGAGGAUUACUCACGGUCUGUGUUCCCGCCCUCUGGGGUCAUCUUCCAGGGAUGGGUCCUUGUCCCAGGGAGCAAACUGACAACAAACAGUCCAGAGUGAAGUCCAAAGAGUUCCGAGGUAUCCGUUGUGAAGACACUACUCCGUUAGGCCACCAGGGGGCACAAAAGCACACAGAAUGACUGGAAGGGGGUUCCCUCAGGGAGAGCUCCUGUCCUAUCCGGGUGGCAAAAUCAUGAAACUGAUGAUAAGAAAUAAAAUUGCAUUUUUGAAAUUGAAAAUCACGAAGUUUGGAGUCAUGUCGGAAAGUCAUCUACACUGCUAAAAAUAAAACAACAAC
Molecule: long non-coding RNA, 432 nt
Filed under: Fukomys damarensis (Damara mole-rat)
Lineage: Eukaryota; Metazoa; Chordata; Mammalia; Rodentia; Bathyergidae
Description: lncRNA (ENSFDAG00000022920.1)
Source: RNAcentral